AUUGAACGCUGGCGGUAUGCUUAACAUAUGCAAGUCGAACGGCAGCACGGUAUGUAGCAAUACAUAUGGGUGGCAAGUGGCGGACGGGUGAGUAACGCGUAGGAAUCUGCCCUCAAGCGGGGGACAACCCGAGGAAACUCGGGCUAAUACCGCAUAAACUCGGAAGAGAAAAGCUGGGGUAACCUGGCACUUGAGGAGGAGCCUGCGUCUGAUUAGCUAGUUGGUAGGGUAAAGGCCUACCAAGGCGAUGAUCAGUAGCUGGUCUGAGAGGAUGACCAGCCACACUGGAACUGAGACACGGUCCAGACUCCUACGGGAGGCAGCAGUGGGGAAUAUUGGACAAUGGGGGAAACCCUGAUCCAGCAAUACCGCGUGUGUGAAGAAGGCCUUCGGGUUGUAAAGCACUUUAGUUGGGGAGGAAGGUUAGCAGUUUAAGAGAUGGCUAAUUUGACUGUACCCAAAGAAUAAGCACCGGCUAACUCUGUGCCAGCCGCCGCCGUAA
Molecule: ribosomal RNA, 502 nt
Filed under: uncultured bacterium
Lineage: Bacteria
Description: partial 16S ribosomal RNA
Rfam family: Bacterial small subunit ribosomal RNA
Source: RNAcentral